Molecule: ribosomal RNA, 484 nt
Filed under: uncultured bacterium
Lineage: Bacteria
Description: bacterial SSU rRNA
Rfam family: Bacterial small subunit ribosomal RNA
Source: RNAcentral
AGGACGAACGCUGGCGGCGUGCUUAACACAUGCAAGUCGAACGAGGAAUGUUGAUAAGCUUGCUUAUGGCAUUCGAGUGGCGGACGGGUGAGUAACGCGUGAGGAACCUGUCUUCUACAGGGGGAUAACGUUUCGAAAGGGACGCUAAUAUCGCAUAAGACCACGGGACCGCAUGGUACUGAGGUCAAAGGAGGAAUCCGGUAGAAGGUGGCCUCGCGUCCCAUUAGGCAGUUGGCGGGUAACGGCCCACCAAACCGACGAUGGGUAGCCGACCUGAGAGGGUGAUCGGCCACAUUGGAACUGAGACACGGUCCAAACUCCUACGGGAGGCAGCAGUGGGGAAUAUUGGGCAAUGGGCGCAAGCCUGACCCAGCAACGCCGCGUGAGGGAAGAAGGUUUUCGGAUUGUAAACCUCUGUCCCGGGAGACGAGAAGGAGACGGUAUCCCGGGAGGAAGCCCCGGCUAACUACGUGCCAGCAGCUGC